GGCAAAUACAUUUUAUUAAUAUGAAGGGAAAAACUUAAGUGUACAAGAUGUAGAGUAAAUAAAUAUAUCUUCUCACCAAUAGUACAAUUUAAUUUGUUUCACCAAGCACAACUAUUCGAUCACUUAUGAGCAACUCAAAUCGCAAGUAUCACCUAAAACCAUCAAUUGUCUCUACAAAAUUUGUCAAUGAUUUCUAGCAUGUGACAUCUGACAUCAAGAUGUUUCUAUUCCUGCAGUCCUAUUUAGGCAACUGUAUCAAAAGCAGCUGCCUCAGAGAAACUAUGCUUCCCAAUUUACAUUCUCCCUUGGCGUGCCACUUGGGGGUAUUGGUAUUGCUCAAUAUUG
This 345-nucleotide unclassified non-coding RNA is filed under the name Hevea brasiliensis (rubber tree). The record is from RNAcentral. Lineage: Eukaryota; Viridiplantae; Streptophyta; Magnoliopsida; Malpighiales; Euphorbiaceae.